RNAcentral lists this unclassified non-coding RNA (299 nucleotides) under Hevea brasiliensis (rubber tree). Lineage: Eukaryota; Viridiplantae; Streptophyta; Magnoliopsida; Malpighiales; Euphorbiaceae. The record is from RNAcentral.
CUUUUAUAAAGGUUCUUUAUAAUUAUAUAUACUAUGUUGGUCUAGAAUAAAAGGUUCUGAUAGUGGUUUUUGGUUUUUUAGUUGAAAGUUUUAUGUCUAUUUCACCUACCACUUUAGGCCUAAGGUUGGAUGCAAAAUAUUCCCUUGAGAAAGAAAAUUCUGGGGAUGGUGCAGAUUUGUCAUUGAUAGUUCAAAUAAAAAAGCAGCAGCGGCAAAGGAAAAAAAGAAAAAAAAAAAGGGUGGUUGAGGGGGGGUUACAUUUCAGGUGUGGGUGGGUUUUUAACGAAGAAGUUCCACAC